AAUGGGUCAGCGACUUAUAUUCUGUAGCAAGGUUAACCGAAUAGGGGAGCCGAAGGGAAACCGAGUCUUAACUGGGCGUUAAGUUGCAGGGUAUAGACCCGAAACCCGGUGAUCUAGCCAUGGGCAGGUUGAAGGUUGGGUAACACUAACUGGAGGACCGAACCGACUAAUGUUGAAAAAUUAGCGGAUGACUUGUGGCUGGGGGUGAAAGGCCAAUCAAACCGGGAGAUAGCUGGUUCUCCCCGAAAGCUAUUUAGGUAGCGCCUCGUGAAUUCAUCUCCGGGGGUAGAGCACUGUUUCGGCAAGGGGGUCAUCCCGACUUACCAACCCGAUGCAAACUGCGAAUACCGGAGAAUGUUAUCACGGGAGACACACGGCGGGUGCUAACGUCCGUCGUGAAGAGGGAAACAACCCAGACCGCCAGCUAAGGUCCCAAAGUCAUGGUUAAGUGGGAAACGAUGUGGGAAGGCCCAGACAGCCAGGAUGUUGGCUUAGAAGCAGCCAUCAUUUAAAGAAAGCGUAAUAGCUCACUGGUCGAGUCGGCCUGCGCGGAAGAUGUAACGGGGCUAAACCAUGCACCGAAGCUGCGGCAGCGACACUGUGUGUUGUUGGGUAGGGGAGCGUUCUGUAAGCCUGUGAAGGUGUACUGUGAGGUAUGCUGGAGGUAUCAGAAGUGCGAAUGCUGACAUAAGUAACGAUAAAGCGGGUGAAAAGCCCGCUCGCCGGAAGACCAAGGGUUCCUGUCCAACGUUAAUCGGGGCAGGGUGAGUCGACCCCUAAGGCGAGGCCGAAAGGCGUAGUCGAUGGGAAACAGGUUAAUAUUCCUGUACUUGGUGUUACUGCGAAGGGGGGACGGAGAAGGCUAUGUUGGCCGGGCGACGGUUGUCCCGGUUUAAGCGUGUAGGCUGGUUUUCCAGGCAAAUCCGGAAAAUCAAGGCUGAGGCGUGAUGACGAGGCACUACGGUGCUGAAGCAACAAAUGCCCUGCUUCCAGGAAAAGCCUCUAAGCAUCAGGUAACAUCAAAUCGUACCCCAAACCGACACAGGUGGUCAGGUAGAGAAUACCAAGGCGCUUGAGAGAACUCGGGUGAAGGAACUAGGCAAAAUGAUGCCGUAACUUCGGGAGAAGGCACGCUGAUAUGUAGGUGAAGCGACUUGCUCGUGGAGCUGAAAUCAGUCGAAGAUACCAGCUGGCUGCAACUGUUUAUUAAAAACACAGCACUGUGCAAACACGAAAGUGGACGUAUACGG
This 1250-nucleotide ribosomal RNA is filed under the name Escherichia coli. RNAcentral's name for it is "partial 23S ribosomal RNA". It matches the Rfam family "Bacterial large subunit ribosomal RNA", at positions 614 to 1850 of the family's 2925-position model. Lineage: Bacteria; Pseudomonadati; Pseudomonadota; Gammaproteobacteria; Enterobacterales; Enterobacteriaceae. The record is from RNAcentral.